This is a long non-coding RNA of Salvelinus fontinalis (brook trout), 2627 nucleotides long. RefSeq lists it as uncharacterized. The transcript is spliced from 3 exons. NCBI's taxonomy places the organism in Eukaryota, Metazoa, Chordata, Actinopteri, Salmoniformes, Salmonidae. The record is from RefSeq and is a predicted model, not a curated record.
CUAGUUCUUACAUACAAGGUUCCUAACUAUCUGUCCUGAUGUAAACAAUUGAUUGACCAACAAUCUUGACGUUGUAGCUUCAUCUGCCCUUGCACUUUGUGACAGUUAGCUAUAUUUGCGACAUACGACACGAAUAGAGACACUUGCAUCCAACAACGUUCCCAAAUUGAUUGGUAGCAGACGUUAUCCAAAGUAAUGUUAGCUAGCUAUAGCCACAUCUUGUAUUUUUCAGUGGUUGACGUGUAACGUUAGUAGCUAAUAAUAGCCCAUGUCAUAACAAGUCUGAUCUAAAGUUGCAGUGCUGUUGUAUUCAAGGAAAACGUUGUCCAUCUAAUGACAAUGGUGCACAUUCUUAGAAGCUAAGAAAAGCACAAACGCGAUCUACAGUGACAGGUUCAGUAUGUUAAUGAAAGUAGGUUAACAAGGGGAAGCAUGGCAUUGUUGCAUGGCACUAGCUUACUGUAUUGUGUGUUUGUGUUUAAACCAUUAGAUUGUGGUUAGAUUUACACAAUUAGAUUGUGUAGUUAUAUGAUUGGUUUUAGUUCUGCAGGAAUACUGUAAUGACCUGACUAGAUCAUAAAAGAACAACUGUCCAGACAGAGGAUUGAGUUUACGAAUGGACGGUUUAUUAAACUAACUUUACACAGGCUACUGUUUGGCCGUAGCCCACGCCAAAUAAAUGAAAGAUAACCCACAAGCCAAUCGUGACCUUCUCUUGUGAAGCCCAGACGUAAAGAGAGAGAACAAAGGCUAAACCUGGUCUUAACUUCCAAUGCUCCCUCCCCCUGGACAACCCCCCUCCACGCCACUCCGCCAACCACCAGGAUGCCCGGCAUCAGAACAUUCCAGGCAUUCCCGUGAUUGGCAGAUAGCAGGUUGAUUGACAUGGCGGACCCCGCGAACACUGGGUACUGGCAUCCGCUCGCUCCCCAGCCAUGGCUGGUCUCCCCCACAGAAGGUUGCGUCUGAGGACUGCUCUCAGGUGGCUGAGUCCCCUCAGCACUGCCUGACCUCCAGCCGUGGUCAGAACUUUACCCCCAGGCUUCAGCAGCGGCCUGUUCCAAACACCCAGGCCCGGGUCUUGUGGCGUCUGCUGUCAGGAGCUCCAUGCCGGGGGAGAGAGACCCACCCCGUCCCCCACAGCUGCCCCAGAGAGGAGGCCUUUCUCCAGGGUAACUCCAGAGGACCUGGCCUUCUUCAGCAAGAUAAUACCAGGCAGGACCAUCACUGACCCAGAUAUACUGGAUGCCAGUUAAUGUGGACUGGCUCAAGUCCGUGAGAGGUUUCAGUGAGGUUCUGCUGAAGCCCCAGACUACAGAGGAAGUUUCUCAGAUCCUUGGGUAUUAUUCUCCAGUCUUCUAGUGUAUGAAGCCAGGUUUCCUCUACUGUUGCAGUGUUACAUGACUGGUAGCAGACAGUGUACCUGUGUUAUAGUGUUGUGUAUCCUGGCAGCGAGUCCUCAGGGUGGUAACACAGGGCUGGUGGAAGACAGUGUUUCUGUCUAUGAUGAGAUCAUCCUCUCUACCGCUCUCAUGAACAACAUCCUCAACUUCGACUCUGUCUCUGGUCAGUAUCGUCUGUAAUUCUAUGGUUACUGUCAGUAUUCAUUGGUCAGUUACACGUCAAAUUUCCUGUUCCAAUUCUCAAUGUUUUGCCCUAGUGUUUUACAGUCCAAUCCAGUUGAGUCUCUCUCUCCUGAUCGCGCUUUGUCGGCAGUGCACGGUUGAAAGUCAAUAUUUACGAGUUCACAGAGAUCUCAUUCACAGUAUACCCUGCAUAUGUCUGCUCAAUCGGAAAAUACCUUUAAUCAAAUCAAAUGUAUUUAUAUAGCCCUUCUUACAUCAGCUGAUAUCUCAAAGUGCUGUGCAGAAACCCAGCCUAAAACCCCAAACAGCAAGCAAUGCAGGUGUAGAAGCACGGUGGCUAGGAAAAACUCCCUAGAAAGGCCAAAACCUAGUGGUGCAUUGUCCAAAUCUGCGAUCGGAUUGAAUCCCGGCCCUAGUGAACUACCUCUGAUACUCAACUCCAACCUGCACUGAUGAGGCCACAGUAGACCUGUCUGAUUAGGGGUCUAACCGUGGCCAUAGUUCUCUCAUUGUACAAGUGUCUGAUCAACUUCUAAUGUAAGCAUAAUCUGUGUAAAUUCAUUGUAAAUAGAGCUGAUUAUAUUUUUUUAUGUAAUCAAUUUAUUUACCACCAGAAUUGAAGACAGCAGAUGGUGUUUGGUAACAGUGCAGAUAGUUUUAUUACAUGUAAUUUUAAAAAAAUUACAGCAACAAAAUAAGCUCAUUUUGUGAAUGAAUACGGAAUCUCUAAAACUAGAUGUACGGUUGGUUCUUUUUAUGUAAAUAAUUGUGCAUGCUCAUUUUCCAAAAGGGACCCAUAGAUGCCCAAUUCCAAACUGACCCCUAACCCCUACACUAUAUACUCGUGUAGGUCUGAAAGGAUUGGAGCGGUAUAAACAAUAUGGUGGUAGCUCCAUCUUGCCCUCUGAUGUUUAAAGCUCAGUCGAGUUUUCCUUUUUCUAUCUUGUUCUGAGGGGAGAAUAAAUGUGAUUAGUUGGAUGUAGGCAGAGUUUGCAGCUACAGGUGAAUGGCAAAUAAAAAAAGGUUUGUUAGGUGGUAAAA